GCGCCGAUGGUGUAUGGUACACCUGCCGCAGAAUGUAGUAUCCGUUGAGCAGUCAUUACAACGGCAAGCUGGGGUUCGAUUCCCCGUCAGUGCA
This is a non-coding RNA of Mycena leptocephala, 94 nucleotides long. The record is from the annotation of a GenBank genome assembly. Lineage: Eukaryota; Fungi; Basidiomycota; Agaricomycetes; Agaricales; Mycenaceae.